Molecule: long non-coding RNA, 604 nt
Filed under: Brassica napus (rape)
Lineage: Eukaryota; Viridiplantae; Streptophyta; Magnoliopsida; Brassicales; Brassicaceae
Description: long non-coding RNA (BNAP_LNC023105)
Source: RNAcentral
AAAAACAACUUACUCUAUGUAUAGAGUAAAACUAUUUUUUACUCUAUUAUAGAAUAAAAAAUAGAGCACCAUUGGGACAUUUUUACUUCAAACUCUAUUUUAUAGUGGAAAAUAGACUACGGUUGGAGAUGCUAACCAUGAAAUGAAAGAGUAGCAUGGUACUGCCUUAACAAACCAGAUCAGCCUAUCACAUUCCACUCGAUCGAGGUUUCCUGCGUCUAAUUUGUUCCCAUGUUUUGAAGGCAGAGAAAGUAUUGCAAUAUUCGUUAACUGAGUGAUGCCACAAUACCUUAUCCCUACUCUCUGCAUCGCUUUGCUCCGUAAAUGCAAGAAUCUUCUCACGCAGUGCUGGAAAUUUCCUACUACGAGCACACUGUGUUCUCCACCGAUUAUUUCCCACAGCAUCGGCCACUGUCACUUUAUGCGGCAGUCCCAUGAGAGUAGUACCUGCCGGACCUUUAGUGUCUAUUAGAGAAUUCAUUUGUAACAAGUCAUUAUACCAGAAAUUUUGCUUUUACCAUCAUGAACCUCAAUACAUAAAAAAUUGUAAGCUUGGUCACGAAUCUUUAGAAGUUUCUCCAUACCCAAAAACCCUUGCCUCCAC